GGCAGCAGCCGCGGUAAUACCGGCGGCUCGAGUGGUGGCCACUUUAUGGGCUUAAAGCGUUCGUAGCUGGGUCGUUAAGUCUCUUGGGAAAUCCGGCAGCUUAACUGUCGGGCGUCUAAGGGAUACUGGCGAUCUUGGAACCGGGAGAGGUGAGGGGUACUUCGGGGGUAGGAGUGAAAUCCUGUAAUCCUCGAGGGACCACCUGUGGCGAAGGCGCCUCACCAGAACGGCUUCGACAGUGAGGGACGAAAGCGUGGGGGAGCAAACCGGAUUAGAUACCCGGGUAGUCCCAGCCGUAAACGAUGUGCGUUAGGUGUAUCGACGACCACGAGUCGUCGAGGUGCCGAAGGGAAACCGUGAAACGUACCGCCUGGGAAGUACGGUCGCAAGGCUGAAACUUAAAGGAAUUGGCGGGGGAGCACCACAACAGGUGGAGCCUGCGGUUUAAUUUGGACUCAACGCCGGGAAGCUCACCGGAUAAGACAGCUGAGUGAUUGCCGGGCUGAAGACUCUGCAUGGCUAGCUGAGGAGUGGUGGUGCAUGG
Molecule: ribosomal RNA, 544 nt
Filed under: uncultured archaeon
Lineage: Archaea
Description: bacterial SSU rRNA
Rfam family: Archaeal small subunit ribosomal RNA
Source: RNAcentral